This 253-nucleotide ribosomal RNA is filed under the name uncultured bacterium. RNAcentral describes it as "partial 16S ribosomal RNA". It matches the Rfam family "Bacterial small subunit ribosomal RNA", at positions 524 to 776 of the family's 1533-position model. The record is from RNAcentral.
UACAGAGGGUGCGAGCGUUGUCCGGAAUCACUGGGCGUAAAGGGCGCGUAGGUGGCGACCCAAGUCGAUGGUGAAAGCUCGCCGCUCAACGGCGAGUCGGCCACUGAUACUGGGUUGCUGGAGCACUGUAGAGGCAGAUGGAAUUCCGGGUGUAGCGGUGGAAUGCGUAGAGAUCCGGAGGAACACCAGUGGCGAAGGCGACACGCUGGGCCGUACCUGACACUAAAACGCGACAGCAUGGGGAGCAAACAGG